ACCUGACUGCUAUCGGAUUGAUACUAAGCCAUGUGAGUCAUUGCAGCAAUGCAAGGCAGACGGCUCAGUAACACGUAGUCAACCUACCCUAUAGACGGGGAUGACCUCGGGAAACUGAGGAUAAACCCCGAUAGAUCAUUAUGCCUGGAACGGUUUAUGGUCCAAAUGAUUCGUCGCUAUAGGAUGGGACUGCGGCCUAUCAGCUUGUUGGUGAGGUAAUGGCCCACCAAGGCUAUUACAGGUACGGGCUCUGAGAGGAGAGGCCCGGAGAUGGGUACUGAGACACGGACCCAGGUCCUAUGGGGCGCAGCAGGCGAGAAAACUUUGCAAUGUGCGCAAGCACGACAAGGUUAAUCCGAGUGAUUCCUGCUAAAGGAAUCUUUUGUUAGUUGUAAAACCACUGAUGAAUAAGGGGUGGGCAAGUUCUGGUGUCAGCCGCCGCGGUAAAACCAGCACCUCAAGUGGUCAGGAGGAUUAUUGGGCCUAAAGCAUCCGUAGCCUGCUUUGUAAGUUUUCGGUUAAAUCCAUCAGCUCAGCUGAUGGGCCGCCGAAAAAACUGCAAAGCUAGGGAGUGGGAGAGGUAGACGGUACUCGAUAGGAAGGGGUAAAAUCCUUUGAUCUAUUGAUGACCCCCUGUGGCGAAGGCGGUCUACCAGAACACGUUCGACGGUGAGGGAUGAAAGCUGGGGGAGCAAACCGGAUUAGAUACCCGGGUAGUCCCAGCUGUAAACGAUGCAGACUCGGUGAUGCCCUGGCUUGUGGCCAGUGCAGUGCCGCAGGGAAGCCGUUAAGUUUGCCGCCUGGGAAGUACGUACGCAAGUAUGAAACUUAAAGGAA
Molecule: ribosomal RNA, 837 nt
Filed under: uncultured crenarchaeote
Lineage: Archaea; Thermoproteati; Thermoproteota
Description: bacterial SSU rRNA
Rfam family: Archaeal small subunit ribosomal RNA
Source: RNAcentral